Molecule: long non-coding RNA, 15451 nt
Filed under: Xyrichtys novacula (pearly razorfish)
Lineage: Eukaryota; Metazoa; Chordata; Actinopteri; Labriformes; Labridae
Source: RNAcentral
UCUUAGGCUUCUGUUCUCCAAUCUCAGAACUUGUGCUGUGCUCCAUCACCAGGGGAACUGAUAGCUUUUAGCAGGCAAACCCUGAGGUGGAAAAGGCUGCUCAGCCUCCCUCUGCCUCUCUCCCCCAAACUCCCUCUUUUUUUCUCUCUCUCUCUUUAGUUUCAUCUUUCUCUUUCACAGCAUUUUGUUUUCCUUUGGUAUCCCUGUGACACUCCCCUUUUCCUUCCCCCCCUCGCAAAGGCAGGUUGGAAUUGAAGUAAAUUUAUUUCUCCUCUCUCCUCAUGCUGCUGCUGCUGCUGUGGACAUAAACCUUCCUCCUUCCAGAGCAGUCAGCGCUGUCACUGAAACGUAUUACCUCUGUUUCCAGAGCUCCUCACACAGGUGGUGUUGUAUUUCCAAGGCUGAAUAACAGGGAUGAUUUCAAGUUGACGUCUCUCUUUUUUUGUUUGUUUUUGCGUGACAACAUAUCACCUUUGUUUACUGUUUCUAUUGUUUCCCUCUGUGAGCAGAUCUGAGCCCGAUGGAGGACAUAAGACAGACCUGGCGGGUGAUGAAACACAAGGACACACAGGGUGGAGAGGCGGGGAGUUGGAACAGUGUGAGGUCUGGCAGAGCAGGUGAGAGAGGGGUUUUUGUGGAUGUUGCUGGUAAAUUCAGCAAAAGGAUUUAAAAAUAGGAGAGGGCAGUGAGUCAGAUCCCUGGACAAAGAGCAGUAAGGAAUUAACUUUUUUUUGUUGUUUUUUUACCUUCUUCCUACCUGCCCCGCGUUCUCACCUUCCAUCCCACAUAAUCACGUCACAGGAAGCACCUCAGGGAGAGGGUCUUUUUCUAACACUGUCUCCCUCUGCUUCCUUUGUUCUCUGAAAAUGAGCACCUCAGAUCUGAUGCCUCCUCCUCUGUUAGUGAACGAAUGUACCGAGCAACAGCGAUUUCCUCGAGCAGGCGUCGCCUCCCGCUGCUCCAGAUUACAGCUCAUUAGUGGUCGCUGCAGAGAGACAGCCCACACCAAUGCCUCCCCUCUGAUUCCCACUUUGUUUCUUGUGAUUCUGGUGUGGCACGCCAUGGUGACAAAAAAAAUGGAGGCUGGUGGUGGUUAUGAGGAAUAAAGGGGCUGGAAGGGAGACCAAGACAAAAACAUGGAGAGUUUUCACAGCUUGUCAGCAGCUGGUGAACAUUUAAAGAGGACAGCUUCAUCAGAUUGACACAGCAGCCUCUUUCCACUGACAUAACACUCUGAGUGGGUAUCUGAAGUGCGAGCUUUUCUGCUGAUAAGCACCUGAGAAGAUGAUCAAGAGGGACUAUCUGUAGAGUUAUAUCCCAUAUAGGCGGACAUUAGCUAUUAACCACCUUCUACAAACAUUAGUGAUGAUCUGCCUGUACAUUUAUUUAAAGUACAAAUAAGGUUGAUCUUUGCUUGUCUUAAAAAAAGUCAAAUAUGUUGAUCUUUGCAUUAAUAUGGACGACACACAAGCUCCACCUAUGAUAAAGUGAAGCCAAAAGAUGAUGAUAUACUCCGCUGUUGAGCCAAGAUAGUACAGUCUACCGUAGACCUGAUUUGUGUGGUCUACGGUAGACUGACACAGAUGCAGUAGCUUAUUGUAUUGCAAAAGACCUGCUACCAAUAAGCACUGUUAGAUUUCAUUUUUUAUUUCGUGAUAUAUAUCGAUAUAGACUGAUAUGAAAAAAAUAUAUUGUGAUGAACCUUUUUCCGUAUCGCCCAGCCCUACUUACAACAUAGCCCCUGUGAUGAUCUGCACAACCCAAAAGACAGCAAACAGACUGUGGAGAGUUGCUAGUGCAAAGACAUGAAAGGCAAAGCCAGGGUGAGAAGUUUGUUUGGGCUGAAGCUCACCAAGCUAGGCUAGGCCUUACAGCCUAUUCACCCUUACCUCUCCUCUUUAAUGAGGGAUGAUAGAAAAAACAGAGAGAAAAAACUGAGAAGACCGUGUAGGGGGGUGUUAUAAAGAGAACAGAGAGGGAAAAGCCAGGGCAAGAAGACUUUUUGGGCUUAGUAACAGCACUGUUAGCUAAGGGCUAAACAGCAGUUUGGUCAUCUUCACCCUGGAACACUGAUGGUACUCUUCUCCAAUUCUCCAACAAAGUCGUUUUUGGAAGCUGCUCAUUACAAUCAAAUAAUAACAAAUAGUCUGAUUGGCAGCCUGAUCUAAAACUUUGUUCACAACGGUAUGACGUCAUGGCAGCAUCUAUGGUUCCCACCCUGAAUGUUGAGAGAGGGUUCAAGGAGGUCAUGUCCAGGGUCACAGCUACAGUUCUUCAAACAUGCCAAGGCUUGUUGGCUGCGUUGACAGUCGAGCUCUUGUACAUCUUUUGUCUUUUGUUUGCGAAAAUAAAACCAAUUGAGAGUGCUUCUCUCUAACUGUCAGCCGUGCCAGGCGCUGCGUGGUAAUUGCCUUUGAACAGCUUUGUGUUUCUGUGCAUUCCCAUUCAUUAUCUGUUUUUCUCUUCCUUCCUGUUUCACAAGACUGGUUGGAAGUGAAGCAUAUCACCCCCACCCCCCACCCACCCCUAAAGUUCCAGUCUUGUUCGCUAUCCUUGGACAAGUUUUGGCAAAGUUACAAAAGGGAACAGAUGCCAGAUGUGCGCAUUGUGUCACUAAACGAAACCCAUUUUUCUGGCUUUUGUUUUUUUUGUUUCCCGAAAAUAGUUCCUCCACAGGCUUGCAAAAUCCUCUUUAAAUCAGAGCACAAUGAUAAUUGUCAUUAUUAUAAAUCGUCUGUGAGGCAGAGGUUCUUUUCAAGAUAAUAGUAGGGAAAAUUAAGCAGCUGCUCCUUUCCUAGCUGGUAAUUGAUCCAUUCAAGCAGCAACCUAGGGUCUAGAGACGUAAAAUCAAUGUGGAGGUGAUAAAAACUGUAGUUCCUGGGUUGUCCACUUGAGGCUGACUGAAGUAGAGUUAUCAGCAAACUGCACCUAAAAGUUAAAAAAAGAAAACCCUGGGUGUAUUUUGCUCUACAACUGAGGAAAACAUUGCAUCACUGUUUUCUACACCUGAGAAGCAAAACAAGAUCAUGGAGAGUACGAAUCAACCAGUCAGAUCAGGUCACUUUCAGUUUACAUCUUUUGCUUCUUCUCGAGAGGGCAGCCCUCCAUCCGUGUACGCUUGGAUGAUUUACAUCCACCAUCCACUGGGGCCCCCUCAGACUGAAUAAGCCUCGACCAUUACAGUCUUGUGGGCAGAGGGAGCUAUGAUAGAAAAAACAAAAACAAAAACUCCAGUCAGUAUUCCCUGUCGCCCGCCUACAAACACAGCUCUGAGCCAUGCUGCACUGUACACUGCUGCCUCUGCCUCCUCUAACCUUACAUGACCUUUGACCCCUACAGUCAUUCUGACAGGCUGUGCUUCUGACAGCCUAUCCCCCGAACUCACUGUGUCUGCGGGAACAGCAGACCAUGAAGCAUGCGAAACGCCAGGGCGAAGAUGUUGAGUUUCUCAGUGUCAACAGACAUCAAACAUCGAACAGAGCCAUUAUUUCAUUACACCGACUUGAAAACUCAUUGCGGGCUGCUUCUGGAAAGCAAACCCAGCUUUCUUUUGUAUCUCCAAGCUUUAAUCGUAUAUCUGUGUUUACACAAACUCAAAAGAUAUACUCUGCGAAGUGUUGCGCUAGCUGGAUGGCACACUUUUGAUUCUUUUGAAUCAGAAAUAAAUCUUCGAUGUGUGACUUCAGUUUCUCUGGCGGGUCCACUCAGAGGCAGGAGUAUGAAAUAUGCUGCUUGUGUCUCAGCUCUGUGGGUCACUUUUGGCUGUAAGGGGAUUGAUUUUUUUCUCCCUCCUGUUUUUUUUUUUUUCAGCUCUCCACUCAGACUUCGCUGAGCACUCCUUCAAAAUAAAACAAACUCAGCCCGGUUGACCCCAAAACAGCAAGACUGACCUGAAAGUAGCUUCAGGGUCAACCCAUUUUCAACAUGCAGCAUAAUGCUACGGUUAUACAGCAAAACAAAUCCACUUAAUUUGGCUCUUUUAUUGUUGAAAAAACUUGUUGGUGCAAGGUCAGGUAAUAAAAUCUGAACUCCAAACCUUUCAAAGUGGAGGACAGUAGCUUUUGGCGUGCAGUCGGAGCCCUUUACUCUGUCAGUUUUUCAUUUUUCAGCUGGUAAUACAGUUUGAAAAUGUACCACAGCUUGUCCUCACUUCAAACCCAACCCCCUCCCCUCCCAUGAUGCACCUUUCCCCACUCUGUGUGUCAGCAAGCCUGGGACACCCACUCAGUCACUAUCUCAACUUCUCCCAUCUAAACAAUUCUGUCAUCAUUUGUCAAACUCCUCUAUCUGUCUCUUCCCUCUCCAUCUGCAUGAGGAGCAGAGUGAUGCUGGGGUGUGAUAGGCGCCCGUCAGGGUCCACGCGUCUCGGUGCACAAACACACGCACACACACACAUUCUCUAUGAGGAGGAUAGAGAUGGAUGCCCUGCACAUUUGAGCAUCCAGACAGAGUGAGUGCAUGUGACAGACAGUCAAUCAGCCCGUGAUGAGAGGUAAUCGCACAGUGGACAGAUCAAUUAGUUAUUUUCUCCAGAGACGAAGAGAAGAAAAACACUGCUGUUCUCCAGGUAAAUGAUUUGCAUUUCACUGCCUUUCAUCUCUCUCAUCCUUCUUGCAUCUUUAUCUUUUCUGUUUUUUUUCUCCCAGCCACCCCCAUUGCUUCCUUCUGUGCACCUCCCUCUCUCCCUCUCCUCUUUGAAUUUGGCUGUUUUGGUUGUUUAUCUCUGCUCAUUUCUCCUCCUGCCUGUCUCAUAGGGAGGGAGGUGGAGAUCCAGACGAUCAGGGCUGACUGAUGGUAUAUGAGCACAGCCUGUGAGUGAUGAGAGCUCUGCCCGGCCGGAUCAUUUAUACUGGGCCAGGCUGAGAACAAACAUAUGUAUCUCAUAGCCAUCGGAGACACUCCAAGGCUGGUUUGGCCACACAAAUACACACAUACACACUCACACACGCAUUCACAGAGGUAAAAACAAACACACAUUAGGACGUGAUGUAUCAAGCUAUGACCUCCUGAAGGGCAAAACUCUCUCUGUAUCUGUUUCACCAGCAGACAUGGACAGGAAAACCCAGUAACAUAUGACCCAUAAAAAGGCAUCUGCUUCAGAGCUCCACUGCUUGUUUAUCUCUUGUUUUCCUGCUGCCCGCUCAGCCAGAGUCAGCCCACAUCAGCAGCUUGAAUUGCUGGAUUUAGAGUUGUUAUGCAUGUAGGUCAUUUUUUCUCUUUGUGUUGCUGUGUUUACUAGCUGUAACAGUGGACAUUCCCUGAGGUUGCAGAAAUGUGGUACAGUCUCGGCUCUCACUGGAGAUCGCUCUGUCCUUCACACCCACUUAAGGCCGGAUCCAGUCAGUGCUUGUCAAAGCAAUUUUACACAGCAAUCUUUAUUUACAGGAAAACCAUCCUGUGCACACACACAGACACAGACGUACACACUCAGAGGAGUCGAUGUUUUUCAAGGGCUUAGAAUUUGUACAGUCAGAUUGGAUUUGGCUGCGCGAUAUGAAGCUUUGACUUUUUGUUACUUUUAACUUUAGUUUAACAAACAUUUACUUUUCGCUUCUGUCCGCUGAGCAUUUAAUGUCCUGAAAAUUUCUUUAAGUUACAAAUCGGUUCAACGGUCACUUUUGUCUUUAUCAUCCUUCCCAAUGAAGGAGUCCAGGGAGCACCAUCACCAUAAGCUGCACUGCAAGCCUGAAUGCUACCGAUGACCCCACCUUUUUAGUUCAGCUGUUCACCGUAACUUUUGAAUGAUGGUGGCCUCUAUCAGAUUCUCAUGUGAACUGGUUUCUGUCCUGAACUUAAAAAACAAAAAACUAAGAUGUUCCAGCAUUAGAUAAAGAAGUACACAAGAAACUCACUGAAUAAAGUGUGUGAGAGGAUUGGUGUCAGCCAAGCAGCUGUUGAAAAAUCCCUACUUUUACAGUUUCUGUAAAACAUAUUUACAAAACAUGACAAAUUUGAUUGUCAAAGUCACAAUGAUGAGAUUUCUGAGAGAAGACGCUAUUUAAGCACGAAGAGGACAAGAUAAGCAAAGACUGCUUUGUCAACGUGGGCGCCAAAACUGACACAAACUGAUAGUUCCUCACAGGAUGAAAAGUAAGGAGACAGAGAGUCCAACAUUUACAGAUGGGGCGCUGGUUUAGUUGAGCACCAUAGAGGAUAUCUUUAUCAUGUUGGUCACAGAUUGAAAUUCCAGUGCUAGCACUAUUGGUUGCAUGUCAUUCUCCCUUCUCUCCUCACUCAAAUCACAGCAAAAACAAAACAAACAAACUUACUCUUUAAAAAUGAGCAGGCUGAUGUUUUAUUGAGUCCUAGUGAGUCUUUCUCACACCCAGAUGUUUUGAACAAGUCAAGAGUGACACCAAAUUCACACCUGGGCUGUUCAGACUGAAGCUGCAUCAUAUAAGAGCUGAUCUAUGUCUGAUUUAGGACCACAUGUGAGGCUGUGACCUGUGCUGUUAUCAAAGUGUAAUACAAAUCAAACCACAGUCCCAGAUGAGCAACAUGAAUAAUGGUUUGGAUGAAGUAACAACAAAGGGGGAUAAUUGAACCCUGAUCUGUGGACAAGCUUCUGUCUUGGAGUGAUGGAAAGGUAAAGCGUAGCAGCACAUAUGUUUGAAAAAUCAGUCUCUCAUAUAGUCCAGACACAUAAAGACGGAUGAUAUCAUGACAUUUAUAGUUCUCCUCUUCCUGUUGGAGCUGUGUUUAUUAGAGGUCUACAUGUAGGCCAAGUUUCAAGUGCCUCUCUGAUCAUUUUCCGUUUCCUUUCUUGGGUGUCCUCUCAGCCAUAAUGUCAAGAUUCUUAAUGUGAUCUGUCUCUUACUACGAUCAUGUUGUUACACAACGGCAAAAAAAAAUACUGCAUAUCAUACCAGAAGCAAGCACAAAACAUGGCCAUGUGUUUCUCGCUUAAAAAACUAUGUGGCCUCUCAUUUUACACUUAACCACCACACAUCACUCCUCCUGUGUCAGCUGAUAUUUCCCAGAAACCCCCAGUCCUCCAGCGCUGGCCCAGCAUGCUCUAUUCCUUCGUUCUUUCAGUCCAUCUUCUUCUCCUGUGUGCCGACAGGACCACCUGGUGCUGCUGCUGGUUGCCAGAUUUUGGAUUAUCCUGCAUAACAAUGGGCCAAAGGAUUGUUUGGACCCCUUCCAUUCCCGGGAUGCCAGAGAGCGCUGCGCUCCUUGCCCUUCAGAGACGGCGGCCCUCCUCUCCAUCGUACACACAUGGAUGCACGACCGCUCUGGGACAGCACUCCCCCUCACACACAUUCAAACUCUUAAUUAACGUGUCCUUGUGUUUAUGGCCAUCCAGUGGCCCAUAAGGGAGUGAGUGAAGUCUAUAGCUGUGUACAUGCACAAAGACCAACACACAGUGGUCAUCUGCACUUUUAACACACACAUGGUGAGGAAAACAGAUGAAUUUUUGUAGUAAAACCCAAACAAAGGACAUUUCUGAAGAACAAAAGCCUAACUUGAUGUGGGCUGAAUAAGUAAACACAGACAUGUGUGUAUCUGUGUUUGUGUUUUCAUAAACAGUCUUUCUAGGAAGCUGCAAUAUUAAAACUCAGAAAUGUCAAAACCAACAAAACAAACCUCUUCUCAACUUUACUUCUGAGAGACUCGGCCUCUCUGAGACGUCCUUUUUGUUCCCCAUCAUGUCACUAACCUGUUGCAGAAAAGCUCUGAUUUGUUGGAAAAUGUUCCUUCAAGUGUUUUGUUUUGUUUUUUUUAGCAUCACACGACUUUGUCAGGGUUCCUUGUCCUAACUUAUUUGAUGAGUCACUGACAUCAAAUUCAAAAUGACCAGCUGCAUUCAAGAAAAACACUAGUUUUAACAUGUCAUAUGUUGUUUUCAUGCUAUUUUCAAUACAUAAAAGGGUUUUUAAUGAUUUUCAAACUAUUAAAUUCCAUUUUUAUCAACGUUUUACAAUGUGUUUAAACUUUUUGGACACCGCAGUUGUACUUAAAAGGUGUAAUACAAAACUUUGAUAAAUUAGGUCUACAGAGACAACACUCACAACACAAAUUCAUAUAGAGUAAAUUUUUCUGUAUACCAGUAUGCCGUGCUUUUUAAACACAGAAAGAUAAUCAGUGGACUUUAUCAUUUUCAGCUGCUAUUCCAACAAUUCCCAGGAGUAAUAUGAUUGGACAUUAAAGUUGGUUUAUUCUGCAUUAAUAUAAAAUAAAUACACAGCCACAGCUCUUCAGACUACAUAGACAUCAUUUUCCGCUCUAAGUGAAAUUUUCACAUUUAUAAUACUUUCAUACUUUUUAUUGAAAAUCUCUAAAAUGAUUAAAAAUACAAAUAAAAGUCAUAUUAGUCACCUAGAGCUGCUGAGAGAGAGAGACACGGAGAGGGAGAGAGAGAUCUUUCACAUCUUUGUAAUUCAUUUUUUUAUAUGUUUCAUAUUCAUUUGAUAUUGUUAUCAUUUCAUCUGUAAAUAUAUGAAUACUUUGGCCAAUAAAGCUCAUUGAACUGAAUUCACCUGAGCAAGACAAAGGGUAAGAGAGACAGAAAAAGCAGUUACUGAUACUCCAUGUCGUAACCUAAUGGUGCUUUGUAUCUAUUAACCAAUCACAGCACAGGAAUGACAUGUAAACAAUGUCAAACCAGUGUAAAACAUGUACAUUUUCAGCUCAGUUUAACACAUUUGGAUUCGAAUCAUCACACUAAUAUCACCUAGAAAUGAUGUCAGGGUACAAACAGCACACUCAGCUAGCUAAUGGCUUCUUUUGAGCCUUUGUCCCUGUAGCUCAAAGUUAAUGUUCAAUCUAAUACACAGAAAGCAAAGCCUUAAGACAUCACAACUUCCAUUCUCUCUUUUUUUAAGAUAUAAGCCAUUUUAGGCGGUAACAAUCACAGAAAGAGCCCUCAUAAUCCUGAAGGGACCAAUAAAGGUAAGCUUUUAUGUAGAGUGAAAAAACGGAGUCAGUGAUGCUCUUUUCCUUGUGGGGACUAUUAACUAUAAUAGGCUGUAGCCUAUGUGUCUGCAGAACGUCUCAUUGCAUAUGCUGUGACAUCCCUGCAGCCUGGGGCAACACUAGCAUAUGUGGCCUUCAGGCGCCCAGACAGGCUCUUACUGUACUCUAAAACAACAUAACUGAGGCGGCGCAGGCGCUCAGAUCACACCGUAACCGUCAGAGUCGUGACCUAACUGGAACAGACAGAAACCUGUGAAAUAGAGCCGGGUUCUAACAGUCUGAACCCCGAACCAAAUCUGUCACUCAAACAGCUAAUGGAGGACACUGAGAGGAAAGAGGACAGAUAUGUGGAGGGAGAAGUAAGGUGAGAGAUGGCGAGUACGGACAGAAACACUACUACAAAGAGGAAAUGUGAAUUGAAGAGAGGAUAGUAAAAAGAACAGGGCUGUGAUUCAGGCGUGAGCUGUGACAAUUUAAAGAGUUUUGACUUGAGCUGUUUGUGACGAUACUCUGUCACUGAGUUACACUCUGUUGCGUGGUCUUCUGCGUGAAGAAACAGGCAGCUCCUCACGCUGGAAGAGUGAAAAGGCACUUUGGUUUCCACCCCCACAAACAGAGCUAUCCUGUUUGAGAAUUACACAUAGAAAAACGAGCUUCUCAAAGAGCCAUUUGAAAUCACUUAUACGAAUAAAACUUUCAUGAAAAAAACAGUUGCUACAGUUUGAGAGGAUUGGAUUGGAGCGGCUGCUCUUGGUAUUGAUAUUCAGCCCUUCCCCUUUGCAAUUGUACUAUCAAGAGGGAGCAGCUUGUGGCCAGAUGUCAUGGGAAGACACUGUUUCUCAUUUGUUAUUCACCCACAGAAUAGAAACUGCAGGAAUUAGAGGUUAAUUAUGAUGGGGAAAGUUGGAAAAAAGAAGGUGAGAUAGAAAAAGACAGGAAUGGAGGAGCAGGGCGGGGAAAGUUAAUUUCCAUCGCUGUUGUUUCGGUGUUGUGCUGCAGCUGGUGAUGAAUGACAGACAGAGAGCUCUCAGCUGGAGGAGGACGGCUAAUGGAAUUGUACCACAUCAGCUCCCAGAUUCACGAGGAGAACACACCACGUUACUAUUAUUCUUUCUAAAUGCCAUGCAUGGUUAGGGACUUACUGCUUCAUACAGAGUGUGCUGGGAAAAAAAACGCUCCCCACAAAAGAUUUGGAUCCCACAUUGUCUGUGUUCACUCGUCUUGUUUUGAUCCGUUGUGAAAUUAGAUGCAAAGAAGAUGCCAUAUUGAGCCUGCAUCAUUACUCUGCUUCAUUUACAGCCAAAAAAUUAUACAAUUUAAAAUGUCAUUUGGUCAGGGGAUGGAGUUUUCAUUAGGAGGGUGCCGUCCUAUUCAACUGGCAGCAAAAUCAGGCCCUUUAAUGACCAUCCUGCUUUUUAAUCAACUCCAGGAACAUGUGAAUAUGAAAAAAGGCCUCAGGAAGCUUUUAAGCAGAGCUUCAUGUGUUAUAUGUAAGACUGGAGGACCUGCAUGGAAGCUGGGCUGUCAGGCACUGCUGUUGGGGUCAACUCUGCCACAUAAUAGAGCUAACUCGAAGAAAUCCUGACUCAGACACUCAUGUCAGCUUAAAUAUACACCCUAUUAUUACUGUAGUUUUCACAGCCUUAUUUUUGCCAUCAGAAAGCUCGGUCAUUUUUGCAUGAUUUACCAGCAUGAGAUAUAUGUAACCGUAUGAUUCAUACAAACCCACUUUAAAAUAAAGGAACACAUAAAAUGUAAGUUUGUUGUAGUUUGUUCCAGGACUGAAUGAAAACAGUAAGAAUUAUUAUUAAGUACAAAUUUGAAUUGAUCAGUAAUCCAAAGAGAUACUAAAUUAAAGCGGUUAUCAGGUUUUGCAUAAGUGUUUUAUCAGAGGGCUAUUACAGCUAGUUUGCUUGCAGCCUGCUUCUUUCUCCUUGCAAGACCUGUGAGCGCCAACAUAAAGGACAACUCACAGUGGUACCAGCACAGACUGUAUAUACUAUGGACAACUUGGUUCCACCUUCCACCAGUAUACGGAUUUGAAGCCGAAAAGCUCUCGGUAUUUUUGUGUUUUUUCUCCACUUCCUGAAACCAACACUGUGCGGUAGCGUCGUACGCACUCCACCACUUGCGCAGUAGCAUUGUGCGCAUUUGGUGGGAGAGUCACCAAAUGUCGCUGUGAUGACACUCGGGUCAAACAGUGUACCCCCCGGGUGAGCUACGCAAUCUUCGUACACCCAUAGGCUGUAUCAGGUGUCAAUCAUAGAAAACAUGAACCGCCUAAUAACUUUUAAAAAUGGAGCUGUACAGAAAAAAAGGGACAUAAUUAAUCUUAGCGCAGUAUCAAUGUUUUGAUAAUUCUCAAUACUAGUAUAUAGCAACUGCCCUAUCAUGGUUUGACCCAAAGGUUUCUGUAUUUGUGCUUAUAUUUCAAGCCUCUAGGAUUUCUUUAUCUAGUCCCAGUCAGUCUAGAUCUUAAGAAGCCUUUCAGACAAGAGGCGAUACAGCUACAAAAACUUCAAAUCUCAGUUGCCUUUUGGAUGAAACUUUAAAUCUCCAUGUUUUGUUGCUGAGAAUCCCUAAAGACAAAUUUAAUUGUCAAAUAAACAAUCUUCUUCUCUUCUUUUCUCUUCUCUGGCAGGCGCAUUGUAAAUCUGUUUGAGUCCUGGAGGUCUAACAGUGGGAAUGUAAAUGUCUCAUUCAUAUACUGAAUAAAAACAUUAACAGCACAACAGCUCCUGCUUAUCGAAGCAAAAUUUUUACAGCUGCCCCUGGUGACUGGGAGCUGUAUAGGUCUCAAAGUCAACCCUCUUCGUUAUUAUAAAUGAAACAUGAGUAAAAGUACAAAACACAGGCAAACUCACAAGGUACUGAACCUCCAAUAACUGAGUAAACAGUGUACCAGCCUGACAGAUCGUUGAUGUUUUAUUACUGACUUAAAUCUGUGCUAAGGUUAAAGGUGUGAAGUCAACCCUGCAGUGAGCUCCACCAGCUAGAUCACUCCAGAGUACAUCACAAGCACAGGAUGUCUAAGGCAAAAUUUUGUCUUCACUUUUUUACAAUGGUAGAAGAUGGAGGCCUUCUGCCCAUAACAUGGUCCCACCCCUUGGAUCUUGAAUUUUUAACCCUCUAUAAAAAGUAAUAUACUGGACCUGGUGUGAGUCAUCUACCUCAGAAGACUUUCACUCUUUUCUGUGAUAACGACUGAUAUUGCGGGCAGGUGGAGGCAGGUCCUGAGCAGUGUGCUGUGUGUUGAUUCAGUUUGGGGUGUAAUUCGACACUGAUGAUGUUCAGCAGAGCGUGAGACCAGUUGAGAUGAGAACGCCUUCAUAUAUCGCUCUCUCAUGCCCGCCCGCCUGCGCUCGUAUCCCACCCAAGUGUACCCUUCAACUGACCACACUGCUUCUCUUCUACAUGCUUUAUAGUCCUAUUGAUUCACUGCUGUAUUUACUGUAUUCACUGCUGGAAUUAUGAACUGCUAAAUCAAAGCAAACAGGUGGACCGGAUGAAGUCAUCAGAUACAGUGGCAUUGAUUAUUCCCAUUAGAUUUCUGCCUUCCUCCCUCGCUCUCUCCCUUCCUCCAGCGUCCUACUGUUUCUCUGGUUGACUGGGUUGUGGCCACUGGCCGAGUAAUGAUGGACAGAUCAUUACUCUGAGCUGAGUAUGCCAAGUGAGCUGUUUUCUUUUUUUUAUUUUUACAGGCAAGGACGGAGAACACAGAGGAGACAAAAAGUAAGAGGGAGGAAAGAAAGACAAAGACAUCAAUUUUUUUCCUGUAAAUGCUAAACUGGAGCCAGUCUCUGGUGUUUCACAGUCUGUCUUGGCAUUUUCCACCCCCCACUCUUCACUGUAUUCUUCAUUCUCCAGACUGCAGCUCUAACCUCUUUAGAGGAUAUUAUAGUCCCUUGCCAUCAGGAAAGCCCAUUACUCCAUCCACAGAGCCUUAUCCGUGGAGGUAUAGCUUUACUUUUCCAUUUUAUGUGCGAGUGUGUGUGUGUGUGUGUGUGAUAAUGUAACAGAGCCUUUACAGUUAUGCUGGGUAAUGCCCAUCACAGAAUCAAUUCUUGUUUGCAGGAAUUCAAGACACUAAGAUAUGAUUAUUGUCAAGAUGAUAAGUUGCUCUGUCAUGGUAGACAUUUUAGUUUUCUAAAAACAUUUUGAUCAUCUCCUGUGAACAGAAGUUGAUGUUCAGUAACUGUGAACUACCAUGGACCAUCUCAUUAACGAUAUUUUUGAAUGAACUGCAGAAAUUGCCAUAGCUUUUUUUUCCUAAUCUCUGUGCAGAGACAUCCAUGUCAUUCAUCAUUUCCAUGUCCAAAUGCUUCUUUUUCUUGCCAAUCACUUGCUCAUCUUUUCCAAUAAUGUGGGUUUGCUUGUGAAUAAGAGCCAACGUAUUAUCACAAUAUAUGGUUAGUGUGUAGAAAUUCAGAGCAAAUUGGGAGCUGACAGAACUGGUUCAUGCUAACUCAUGUAAAACAAAUAACAGCUAAAAUUACUAUCAAACAGGAGCGUCUGUGAUGAAGGCUUCAAAAUUGUCAAACUCACACUUGAGUUUGAUACUUGAGUUUGAUUUUGAGUAAUCUGUGGAUCUUAAUGGAUGUGUUCAGUUUUUCUUUUUUUUUUUUUUUUGUUCGUUUUUUUAAUGAAUCAUAGAUUAAGAGGUUUUAAUGGAGGGUUAAUGUUUAAGUUAACUGGCACGUGUUUGACUGAAUGAACGAAUUGACUUCUCAACUUUAAUGUCUUUGUUGAUUGAAUAAGAGUUAACAGGGUUUCUCAUUCAUUUCAGCAUGCCCUGUGUCCAUCUCUGACUGCAGAGGUUCCAGGUGGAAUGGAAUGGGAAUAAAUGAAUGGAAUAAAAAAGUUAAGUUGAACCAAAGAGAAUGGAAUGGAACAGAAUCAAAUGGAAUGGAGUUGAGUAGCAUGGAACAGAAAGGAAAAAAAGUGGAUUAAAUGAAACAUAAAACAAAAUUAUAGAAUAAACCAAAUAAAUUAAGAAUUUACCAUUAGAUGGCAUUACAUUUCUUUAUGGAGUACACUCAUGCCUUCAACAGACUGCAAUUCUGAUCAGUUAUUUUUGGAUUAAGCACCCUAUUUGCUCAGUGAUUUUAAGAAAUUAUAUUGAAAAGCGUCAUUAUUAAUGAAUUUUAAUGGCAUUCCAAAACUUCUCAGAUGCAAGUCUGGGUUAUAACGCAAUAGAAAAAAAUGUGAGCUCAUAAACUUUGGCUUGAAAAAGGCUUAAUUUGCACUACAAGGUCAUCAGGGAGGAAAACUGUGUUUUUGGUUUGCACAUCUCUGUAUGCAGACAACCUCUCAUUUUUCCUAGCUAAUUGUGUGGUUUACACACAAACAGCAACUGUUCAUUAUGCCCACUAGUUGGUUGAAUACUUAGCUUUAUACCCAAAUUAAGACAUACAGAUCACAGCUCAUUUACUCUCAUAUUGAUCUCUUCUCCCUCUCUCACUUUUUAUUCCUUCUUUCUUACUUUCUCCCCCUCCUUCUCUUUCUCUACAUGAAGCCAGAUUGCCCUUCACUUUAGGUAAUGAGGCCACUCUAUCAUAGACCUCCACCAGCCUACAGCCCACCUCCGAGCUCCUCCCUAAAAGGACAGUAGAAAACAUUGGUGGUCGAGCUACACUGCACAUCCUUCGAUCUUACUAUACAUGCUAUAUUAAACGUGUUGUUUAGAUAGUAGCUCACUGUGGCUUGUUACUACUGCCAUGAAGCAUAUCCCCAUGAGCCAUCAGUGCUGCAGAUGCUCCAUCACUUAAUAUUCAGUUGUCAUGUUGUAAUGCUCUCCCCUGAAUGACCUUGAGAUGCUCCAGUCUUAUAGCAGAGAAGACCGCCGGGAAACCUCUCUGUAUCUCAGCAGACUACCCCACAAAGGAAGCAAGCCAUAUGGUGAUGGCUCCAUACACCAACACUCAUCCACUGAGCAGCUUUAUGAGCAUAAAUGACUGUAAAACAAUUUCCUUUUCAGGGCAGAAGAAAUAUUUCAUCUGCCAUUUACAGCAUGGCCAAAGCUGCUCUUUUUCCAACUAUCUCUUUGUCCCUCUGAGUGUCUGAUUUUUCUCUCCAGAAGUGUGAUGAGUGGGGUCGUGGCAUCGGCGGCGGAAGCAUCUGCCAGUGAGGGAAGGGCCAAGAAGAGAAAGCGCCUCCUGUUUGUCUCCACUGUCUCCAAGCCCCCAACCAUAUUCUUCCUGCUAAUUAACCUGCUGACGCCUCCUUACUGUGUGCAUUUUGGGGGGAAGGUGGUUGGGUGAGAUGUGCCGAAGGUGAAGAGGAGGGGAUGGCUGACUGCUGACAACAUAACCACUCCACUAAAGAAGAGGAGUUAACAAUUCUGACCACAUAUUUCACAUACAUGCUCACGAAUACCUGCUUUUCAAAGCUACCACCUUAAGUGAUAUCUGAUUUUUUGGUUUCCAGUGCAGCCAGCAUUUAACAAUCAACGAUUUCCAACCAAGAUGUCAUUAUCUGUGAGUCGUCAUUGUUUACAGUUUAACAAGAAACUGGAAAAGAGAAAACAUGGUUGGAG